CUGGGGCUGGAGGUUAGAGGAACUCCACGUAGUUCUCUGGGAUGAGGCCAGUCUUUCCAUUCAGAGUCCCCUCCAACCAGCCAGGCUCCUGAGACGGGUGAACUGUACGGGAAGAGAGAGAAGAGAUGAGGUCACGGGCAGCCCGGGGGUGGAUGUGCUGUGCACUGGAAGAUGUAGGAGACAGUGUCUCAAUCUGAUUUGGACUCACAGCAACGAUCCUGCUUCGAUAUUCCAACCCUGGGGUUAGCAGCCUGAGCCACCAUGUGCAGCCUGACCUACCUGCUCUGUGUCGCCAAGCCCACCUCUCAUGUCCUCACGACCCACUCUCCAUGCCGCACACUCCGAAUGCUUCCCUUCUGUUCCACCCACGGCCACCCUUACUUUUCUACACUAGAGCUUUUCCUAUAAACAAGUCAAAAGGCCAUCUGCUUCCUCUACUGUAACUUUCAAAGCUCCCAUCCUUUUGAUUUUUUUUCAACAACACAGAAUAUAGAUCUAUUUCUGUUAUGUCACAAUCCCUCUCUAGGGGAAAUGUGGAGUGAAGAGA
Molecule: non-coding RNA, 547 nt
Organism: Rattus norvegicus (Norway rat)
Lineage: Eukaryota; Metazoa; Chordata; Mammalia; Rodentia; Muridae
Source: RefSeq, a predicted model, not a curated record